UCGAACCUGCCCAGCAGAACGACCCGUGAACAUGUUUAGAACAAGGGAGUCGGGUACCGGACGGAGCCCCGUGCGCCGCCCUGCCCCCCGCCCAAGCAGGGAGCUCUCACCAGUGGGGCGCUCCCCGCUAAACAAACGAACCCCGGCGCGAAAAGCGUCAAGGAAUAGCGAAUCAACGUGCCCGCCCCCGUCCGGUCAUUCGGCAUGGGGGCGCGGUGCCCAUGUAUCUAACAAUAAACGACUCUCGGCAACGGAUAUCUCGGCUCUCGCAUCGAUGAAGAACGUAGCGAAAUGCGAUACUUGGUGUGAAUUGCAGAAUCCCGUGAACCAUCGAGUCUUUGAACGCAAGUUGCGCCCGAGGCCUCCGGCUGAGGGCACGUCUGCCUGGGCGUCACGCAUCGCGUCUCCCCCAAACCAACCACGUUGGAGGGGAAGGAGGAUGGCUUCCCGUGCCUCACCGGGCGCGGUUGGCCUAAAAUUGGAGCCCACGGCACGAAAUUGCCGCGGCGAUAGGUGGUGAGCAAGGCCUCGGCCGAGUAAGCAACCCGUCGCGGUGUUCUGNCGCGGGCUCGACGGACCCUUUUGCCUUGCCUUGUGCAUUGCAAACCCUUGCGACCCCAGGUCAGGCGGGG
RNAcentral lists this ribosomal RNA (632 nucleotides) under Cyathophylla viscosa. Its description in RNAcentral is "eukaryotic LSU rRNA". The stretch from base 240 to 394 matches the Rfam family "5.8S ribosomal RNA". Lineage: Eukaryota; Viridiplantae; Streptophyta; Magnoliopsida; Caryophyllales; Caryophyllaceae. The record is from RNAcentral.